CAGUCGCCGCGGGAACACGAACCGUGCGAACGUUAUUCGGAAUCACUGGGCUUAAAGCGCGUGUAGGCGGGAGGGCACGUCCGUCGCUGAAAUCCCCCGGCUCAACCGGGGAACGGGCGCGGAUACGACUCUUCUGGAGGAACGUAGGGGGACCUGGAACUUCCGGUGGAGCGGUGAAAUGCGUUGAGAUCGGAAGGAACGCCCGUGGCGAAAGCGAGGUCCUGGACGUUUACUGACGCUGAGACGCGAAAGCCAGGGGAGCGAACGGGAUUAGAUACCCCCGUAGUCCCUGUCUCUUAUA
RNAcentral lists this ribosomal RNA (301 nucleotides) under uncultured bacterium. Its description in RNAcentral is "partial 16S ribosomal RNA". It matches the Rfam family "Bacterial small subunit ribosomal RNA", at positions 509 to 807 of the family's 1533-position model. The record is from RNAcentral.